RNAcentral lists this long non-coding RNA (262 nucleotides) under Elaeis guineensis (African oil palm). RNAcentral's name for it is "long non-coding RNA (EGUI_LNC025956)". The record is from RNAcentral. Lineage: Eukaryota; Viridiplantae; Streptophyta; Magnoliopsida; Arecales; Arecaceae.
UUCUAAGCUAAUAGAGUUAUUGGACUCCUAGCCAUCUAUCAUUUUCUUUAAAUAUUUGAAUUGUAUAUGGAUUUUUCCUCUUUUUCUAUGCUAUUUCUUAUCCAUGUAUGAAAGAUGCAUAGUGAUUUGAAAAUAUAUCUUUUAUUUUGGUUUUAUAUCUACCUUGAAUAUCAUUUGUUUUUUUUUCAUUUUCAAUCACAAUGAUAGUUGGCCUCUUUUCACCAACUAUCACCAUACAUGUAAGUGAAAAGGAGGGAUGGAG